CAGCCGUAAACAAUGUGCGUUAGGUGUGUCGGUAACCACGCGUUACUGAUGCGCCGAAGAGAAAUCGUGAAACGCACCACCUGGGAAAUACGGUCGCAAGGCUGAAACUUAAAGGAAUUGGCGGGGGAGCACCGCAACGGGAGGAGCGUGCGGUUUAAUUGGAUUCAACACCGUAAACUCACCAGGGAAGACUGUUACAUGAAAGCCGAGAUGAAGACUCUGCUAGAUUUUCAGAGAGGAGGUGCAUGGCGUCAGUGACU
This 260-nucleotide ribosomal RNA is filed under the name uncultured archaeon. RNAcentral describes it as "partial 16S ribosomal RNA". It matches the Rfam family "Archaeal small subunit ribosomal RNA", at positions 748 to 1008 of the family's 1478-position model. The record is from RNAcentral.